Molecule: long non-coding RNA, 273 nt
Filed under: Homo sapiens (human)
Lineage: Eukaryota; Metazoa; Chordata; Mammalia; Primates; Hominidae
Description: non-protein coding lnc-METTL6-1:1
Source: RNAcentral
AUGCCCAAGAGAAAGGCUGAAGGAGAUGCUAAAGGAGAUAAAGCCAAGGUGAAGGACGAACCGCAGAGAAGAUCCGCUAGGUUGUCUGCUAAACCUGCUCCUCCAAAGCCAGAGCCCAAGCCUAAAAAGGCCUCUGCAAAGAAGGGAGAGAAGGUACCCAAAGGGAAAAAGGGAAAGGCUGAUGCUGGCAAGGAGGGGAAUAACCCUGCAGAAAAUGGAGAUGCCAAAACAGACCAGUCACAGAAAGCUGAAGGUGCUGGAGAUGCCAAGUGA